UGCUAAGAGCAGGUGAAAACUAGAAAUAAAUCUAUAUGGGGCCUUAUUUUCUUCAGUAGCUAGCUGCUUUGUGGUGGGGCAUUUAUACCGCUCUUUAUCAGAGCUCUCAGGUGCCAACUGAGUACAAGCCACAAGAGGGAGGAAAUGUCAAGAUUUGGGCAUUCUUACUACAUACGGUUUGUAUUUUUAUCAACAUACUUCAACUGCGGAAAUGCUUACCCUUGAAGAUAAGGAAAACAACCACUCACUUCAUCAGGAAGACAUAUACAAAAUUUCUAUAAAAGCCUUGAACUUUUUGUAGCAGCUUCCUGCAAGCCACAAAUGACAGUUCUACAAUGUAAGGAGAGCAACUGAGAUCUUUCAGCCUUGUUUUGUCGAUAGAUUCCUUUCUGCUCUGUUAACAACCCACUCAAGCCCUCUGACAUGGGGCUAAAAGCCAGGGACAUCACUAUCGGUUAUCAUGGCUGCUUCAGGACAAAGACCGCCUUUUGAAGUCCCUUUUGUGUUUAUUCAAAGCAGCACAUAUUCAGAGCAGAGAGAACUAAGCAUGCGGCGACAUGAGAUUUUUGUGCUGAUUCCCCUGUGGAGGAAACAAGGAAAAGAGAAGCAUAGAGUUCCGAAUUCAUGUACUGUUUCCAUUUCUCAUGAGAUGGUGACCAAUUUUUGUUUCAUUGUGCAACUGAUUGAGUAA
RNAcentral lists this long non-coding RNA (691 nucleotides) under Phascolarctos cinereus (koala). Its description in RNAcentral is "lncRNA (ENSPCIG00000000453.2)". The record is from RNAcentral. Lineage: Eukaryota; Metazoa; Chordata; Mammalia; Diprotodontia; Phascolarctidae.